This 440-nucleotide ribosomal RNA is filed under the name uncultured bacterium. RNAcentral describes it as "partial 16S ribosomal RNA". It matches the Rfam family "Bacterial small subunit ribosomal RNA", at positions 338 to 795 of the family's 1533-position model. The record is from RNAcentral.
CCUACGGGAGGCAGCAGUGGGGAAUAUUGCACAAUGGGGGAAACCCUGAUGCAGCGACGCCGCGUGAGUGAUGAAGUACUUCGUUAUGUAAAGCUCUAUCCGCAGGGAAGAAAAUGACGGUACCUGCGUAAGAAGACCCGGCUAACUACGUGCCAGCAGCCGCGGCAAUACGUAGGGGGCAAGCGUUAUCCGGAUUUACUGGGUGUAAAGGGUGCGUAGACGGUGGUGCAAGUCUGGAGUGAAAGUCGGGGGCUCAACCCCCGGACUGCUCAGGAAACUGUACGGCUGGAGUGCAGGAGAGGUAAGUGGAAUUCCUAGUGUAGCGGUGGAAUGCGUAGAUAUUAGGAGGAACACCAGUGGCGAAGGCGACUUACUGGACUGUAACUGACGUUGAGGCACGAAAGCGUGGGGAGCAAACAGGAUUAGAUACCCCAGUAGUC